UACGUAGGGUGCGAGCGUUGUCCGGAGUUACUGGGCGUAAAGGGUGUGUAGGCGGUUGGAUAAGUUUGGUGUGAAAUCUCCCGGCUUAACUGGGAGGGUGCGCCGAAAACUGCGAGGCUGGAGUGUGGGAAAGGUAGGCGGAAUUCCUGGUGUAGCGGUGAAAUGCGUAGAUAUCAGGAGGAACACCGGCGGUGUAGACGGCUUACUAGACCAUGACUGACGCUGAGGCACGAAAGCGUGGGUAGCAAACAGG
This 253-nucleotide ribosomal RNA is filed under the name uncultured bacterium. RNAcentral's name for it is "partial 16S ribosomal RNA". It matches the Rfam family "Bacterial small subunit ribosomal RNA", at positions 524 to 776 of the family's 1533-position model. The record is from RNAcentral.